AACUGUAGAAAAAGCAAUGUAAUGAUUCAGAGACACUUUUGAAUGACUUACAAGACAAGUAAAGACAUUUCGAAAGGUUUUAUGCAAGAAAAACAUAGGUAAAAUUGUGAUUGAAAAUACUGCGAGGCAGAGACAAAUUGAACUAUGCAGUUGAAAUUUGAUAAUUGACAAGGUUUGAAAUGAAAUUGGACCUUGUAUUUUUAGGUCCAAAAACAGGGUAUAACA
Molecule: long non-coding RNA, 225 nt
Filed under: Medicago truncatula (barrel medic)
Lineage: Eukaryota; Viridiplantae; Streptophyta; Magnoliopsida; Fabales; Fabaceae
Description: long non-coding RNA (MTRU_LNC006889)
Source: RNAcentral